RNAcentral lists this ribosomal RNA (253 nucleotides) under uncultured bacterium. RNAcentral's name for it is "partial 16S ribosomal RNA". It matches the Rfam family "Bacterial small subunit ribosomal RNA", at positions 524 to 776 of the family's 1533-position model. The record is from RNAcentral.
UACGGAGGGUGCAAGCGUUAUCCGGAUUCACUGGGUUUAAAGGGCGCGCAGGCGGAUUUGUAAGUCAGUGGUGAAAGGCUUAAGCUUAACUUGGGAACUGCCAUUGAUACUAUAAGUCUUGAAUGUUGUUGAGGUUUGCGGAAUGGGUCAUGUAGCGGUGAAAUGCAUAGAUAUGACCCGGAACACCUAUUGCGAAGGCAGCAGGCUAAACAAAUAUUGACGCUGAGGCGCGAAAGCGUGGGUAGCAAACAGG